RNAcentral lists this long non-coding RNA (1961 nucleotides) under Medicago truncatula (barrel medic). RNAcentral's name for it is "lncRNA gene26436". The record is from RNAcentral. Lineage: Eukaryota; Viridiplantae; Streptophyta; Magnoliopsida; Fabales; Fabaceae.
GUGUGCAUACUAUAAUUGUAAAGAUAAAGGACAAAUACCCCAAUAUGGAAAUACUCGUUUCUAAUGAAGUCACAGGACAACAUAAUAAAAGAUAAACCAACAAAAAUCCAUCAACACCACUUGUCUCACAAGAAUCUAUAAGACACAUCUCUUGAACAAAACAAAAUGAAAGCUUAGAGAAAUGAUCAUAGCAAACAACAAAACAAAUAGGUAGAAUAUAAGUUAGUUCUUUCCACCAAUAUCCUUCAAAGCACAGAUCUGCUCCUCACCCAUAGCAGACAUAACGGACACGACAAGGUCCUUUCCCUCAGCAAAUCCAUCCUUGAUCUAUAAACAAAGCAAAAACCAAUCAACACAUAAUCAAUCAGAUGAUACAAAGACAUGUAAGCAAAUCCAUUUUAGCCAAAAUCAAUCAAAUGAUACAAAGACACAAUGCAACAUCAGUUCUGUACCUGAGUGAGCAGACUGUCAUCGGUGGGAAGUUUGAGGUCAUCCUUGGUGUUGCCAUUCUCAGUAAGCAGGCUCACCUACCAAACAAAAACAUUUAGAUUUUUCAGAACAUUAGAUACCAAAAGGGAUAAAUGAGCCCAUUUGUUACAAGAUUAAUUGAAUAAAAUUAUUUCAAGCGGUUUUAAUCGUGUUUGUUUAAGCUUUACAGAUCAUUCAGAGCUUAGAAAAAUGAUAUGCAGAUUAAAAAGAGAAGCUGUUUUGGGUAGCUUCUAACAUGAAAAUAUUAAAAAACAAUUUUGACUGUUUUUUUUUUUUGAAAACUCGGUAUAAACAAGAGUAGUGUUAUUUGAACAAAAGACAAUUUUGCGACAACUUAUUUUUUCUCUUUUCAUUGGUCAAAAACAACGGAGAGAGAAAAAGGAAGAGGGAGAAUAAGAGGAUAGUGUGAGUAUGAGAGAGAAAGUUGUAAAAAAGUUGUGAGAAAGUGGUUGUACAAAUAUCAUUUCUCUAUAAACAUAUACACAAAUCAACUCACCAGCCAUACACUUCAACAUAAAAAUCUCUUAGUAGCUUCUCAGAUGAAAAUAUUAAAGAUCAAUUUUGACUGUUAUAAACGUAAACACAAAUCAACUCACCAGCCAUACUCGUAACAUAAUCUAAAUUAUCUAAUCUGAUGAGUAUCAAAAUCACUUUUCUCAUAAUCCAUAACAUGUAGAGCUAAUUUGUUGCAGCUUUAAAACAAAAUAAUCACUUAAUUUGUUUAGCUUCUUCAAAUGGUUUUCAAGCUAGUAAAUGUUUCUUUUAACAAAUCUCCAAAUAAAUGAGUAUCAAAAUCACUUUUCUCAUAAUUCAUAACAAUCGAUUAAUAAUUUUAAACAAACAGACACUUUAGUCAAAGCAAACAAAACACUUACAAAUCCAUCUUCAGAGAUAUCAAUGAGCUGGUAAUCAGUACGAUUCACGUGAGGAACCUAACAAAACAAUUGUAACAAUUAUAUUAAAAAAAAAAAACUAAAAAUUUCAAACUAAAAACAGAGAUAAAUUGCACAUAAAAACAAAGAUAAAUUGCAAUUUAUGCAUACAUCACAGUUAUGAGAGGAAGGAACGAUAUCUUCAAGUUUCUUGGAAGUGAAGAUGUCAAUAGCAACAAAGUGACAUUUAGCAUGACCGUGCUUUCCAGUUUUCGAGGUGGAAACUUCAACAACCUAAUCACAAAAAAAAAAAAAAAAAAUCUAAGAAAAUCGAAUCAUAAAAACUGGAUCUGAUAAUCGGAAUCAAAACAAUUAUCACGAAUAUUAAGCAAAAACCUACCUUGCAGGGACGGUUUUUGAUAACGAUGUAGCCGUUCUUGCGGAUUGUUCCAGCUUGUUGAGGGUAAGUUUUGGAGGCACCAGCAUCGGCCUUGGAUUCGAAUUGGUGCUCUUCGUCAGACAUCGUUCUGAUUCAGGUGAGGUUGUGGCGGUGACGAAGAGCUACAAGGAGAGAUUUGUUUCAGAGUUUUUCAACCGAAA